This 954-nucleotide ribosomal RNA is filed under the name Psathyrella sp. RNAcentral's name for it is "partial large subunit ribosomal RNA". It matches the Rfam family "Eukaryotic large subunit ribosomal RNA", at positions 35 to 976 of the family's 3401-position model. Lineage: Eukaryota; Fungi; Basidiomycota; Agaricomycetes; Agaricales; Psathyrellaceae. The record is from RNAcentral.
AUAGCAUAUCAAUAAGCGGAGGAAAAGAAACUAACAAGGAUUCCCCUAGUAACUGCGAGUGAAGCGGGAAAAGCUCAAAUUUAAAAUCUGGUGGUCUCUGUCCAUCCGAGUUGUAAUCUAGAGAAGUGUUACCCGCGUCGGACCGUGUAUAAGUCUCCUGGAAUGGAGCGUCAUAGAGGGUGAGAAUCCCGUCUUUGACACGGACUACCGAGGCUUUGUGGUAUGCUCUCAAAGAGUCGAGUUGUUUGGGAAUGCAGCUCAAAAUGGGUGGUAAAUUCCAUCUAAAGCUAAAUAUUGGCGAGAGACCGAUAGCGAACAAGUACCGUGAGGGAAAGAUGAAAAGAACUUUGGAAAGAGAGUUAAACAGUACGUGAAAUUGCUGAAAGGGAAACGCUUGAAGUCAGUCGCGUUGGCCGGGAAUCAGCCUUGCUUUUGCUUGGUGUACUUUCUGGUUGACGGGCCAGCAUCAGUUUUGACCGGUGGAAAAAGUUCAGGGGAAUGUGGCAUCUUCGGGUGUGUUAUAGCCCUUGUUCGUAUACAUCGGUUGGGACUGAGGAACUCAGCACGCCGCAAGGCCGGGUCUUUGACCACGUUCGUGCUUAGGAUGCUGGCAUAAUGGCUUUAAUCGACCCGUCUUGAAACACGGACCAAGGAGUCUAACAUGCCUGCGAGUGUUUGGGUGGAAAACCCGAGCGCGUAAUGAAAGUGAAAGUUGAGAUCCUUGUCAUGGGGGAGCAUCGACGCCCGGACCUGACGUUUUCUGACGGGCCCUGCGGUAGAGCAUGUAUGUUGGGACCCGAAAGAUGGUGAACUAUGCCUGAAUAGGGUGAAGCCAGAGGAAACUCUGGUGGAGGCUCGUAGCGAUUCUGACGUGCAAAUCGAUCGUCAAAUUUGGGUAUAGGGGCGAAAGACUAAUCGAACCAUCUAGUAGCUGGUCCUGCCGAUUUUUUUUAG